This 208-nucleotide unclassified non-coding RNA is filed under the name Hevea brasiliensis (rubber tree). Lineage: Eukaryota; Viridiplantae; Streptophyta; Magnoliopsida; Malpighiales; Euphorbiaceae. The record is from RNAcentral.
GGAGAUACUUGCAAGUUGAUCACUUGGCUUCACAAAAUUGUAGUCAAUCUUAAUGUGCUUAGUCUUCUCAUGAAAUAGUAGAUUUGACUUAGAAUGUUGAUAAAACACAGAGUGGUCAGCCCUACUAUGAGUCAUGCCAAAUUCUUGAACUACUGCGCUUAACUUCCCAACCAAGCUUGAAAAUAUUGUUUUACACUAUAGAGUGCUA